GGGUAUGUAGCUCAGUGGUAGAGUGCAUGCUUAGCAUGCACAAGGUCCUGGGUUCAAUCCCCAGUACCUCCA
This 72-nucleotide transfer RNA is filed under the name Camelus bactrianus (Bactrian camel). It matches the Rfam family "tRNA". From Rfam's summary of the family: Transfer RNA (tRNA) molecules are approximately 80 nucleotides in length. The record is from Rfam by way of RNAcentral. Lineage: Eukaryota; Metazoa; Chordata; Mammalia; Artiodactyla; Camelidae. RNAcentral also lists the same sequence under 2 other names.